Molecule: transfer RNA, 58 nt
Filed under: Neotoma lepida (desert woodrat)
Lineage: Eukaryota; Metazoa; Chordata; Mammalia; Rodentia; Cricetidae
Source: Rfam by way of RNAcentral
UGGCUCAGUAGUUAAGAGCACUGGGUGCUCUUCCAGAGGUCCUGAGUUCAAUUCUCAG